GGCAGUCUCGUAAGCAUUCUUCUCAUUCUGGACAGUGUAUCGUUUGUAGUUUUUAUUGUGUUGGCUGAGCUUCCGUAACGCUGUCAUUGCAUCGUGGGGUAGCCACGGGGUGUAAUCGUCUAGUUUCAUGAUUACAUCAAAUGCACCGCCCUUAAUCUGAUCUGCUGCAGUAGAAUAUGCCUGCUGCAUACCUCUUGCAAGAAGAAAGACAAGAUGGAGCUGGUUGAUAGAGUUGCAGGCAUCCCCUGAGUUCAAGACCUGCGAGGACCCAAAUGCGAAGACAGUAAGAAGGAUCGAAACCAGGAACACAGCCUUGCAAUUUUCUUCAUUGAUAUUUCCUAGUAAUGGUUGGGAUAGAGCCACAGCCCGAGAGUGGUGGCCAAGGGCGAGGGCCAGAUAUAGCUGUUGUUUGAUAUUGGAGGCGUUACACCCUGAUCUUCGUCCAAGCUCAAGACCAGAUACCGCUAGAAUUCCAUGCAUUAAGA
Molecule: small RNA, 485 nt
Filed under: Histoplasma capsulatum
Lineage: Eukaryota; Fungi; Ascomycota; Eurotiomycetes; Onygenales; Ajellomycetaceae
Also listed under: 1 other name
Description: hypothetical RNA
Source: RNAcentral